CUUGGUCCCAUCCAAGGAGCCCCAGGGAGGGGACGGGCCUGCUCCACCUUCCUCACCAGCUCCAAACCGGGACCAUUUAGCGGGCCAGAGAAGAGGAUUCAAGAUGCUCCUGCUGCAGAUGCCACUCUCCAUGCCAAGUUUAGAUGGGGAGAGUGUGAAGAACCACCCAUAGAAUUGCCCCCCUCAAGCUUGGAGUGAUGUAAAAGAACCACUCAUGUACCUACAGCAUGAGCAAAGAUAAAUACAUAGAAACCUCCUAACAGAACUCCUGAAGAUGCUUCUUGUUCUGAGAAGACAUUUGA
This is a long non-coding RNA of Malaclemys terrapin pileata, 302 nucleotides long. RefSeq lists it as uncharacterized. The record is from RefSeq and is a predicted model, not a curated record. Lineage: Eukaryota; Metazoa; Chordata; Testudines; Emydidae. The transcript has 3 exons.